GGCGGGAAACGGGAUUUGGACCCCCCUUCAGGACCCUUUCAACAGCUUUUCUGAUGGCGAGGAGACUGGGACUGAAGUACGAGAGCCAUCUGUCACCUGUACAGCGGUUUUCCCUGUUAAUCAACAUGGUGGACAGAAGAAGAAGGGCGAUUUACCACAAAUAACAAAAAGACUGGAAAAGCGGUGCUAUGGAGUCGCUGAUCUACCGGCGACAAUCCUCUGUUUGUGUGAAAUAACAAUGGCGAAAAGUAUGGCUGGGCGUGGCGGGAGUAGUAGGGCUAGGCAGCGGCGGCCUUUGACGGACAGAGGCCGGCAUAGUCUGCAUCAAGAGCAAGGAAUAAUGGCACAGAUGAUGCACUAUAUGUCUGAGGCCAGACUGCGUGGGAAAAUACGAAGAAUUAAUGAAGCUCUUGAGGAGGACCCUGUUGAUGUUCAGACGCUGUGUAACCUGGCCAUGUCAUGUGAUGGCCUGAUAACCAAUGACCUGCGACGGAGAGUCUGGCCAAAACUGCUUAAUGCCAACUCACUUGACAUAUCAGUGACCAAAAAUAAAAAAGGUUCAAGUGAAACAGCUCAAUUUCAGGAGAAUAAAUAUUGGGUUCAAGUCAACCUUGAUGUUGACAGAUCACACAGGCGAUUUCCAAAAGUUCCCUGUAUUGCUCUGUGGAUUGCAUUUGCAGAGAUGCGGGUCUCCAGAAGGAAGGUGCUUCAAAGCCAACUGACAAAUGUUAUCAUGCGGGUGAUAUGUAAACACCAGAAUCUCCAUUACUACCAGGGCUAUCACGAUAUUGCUGUAACACUGUUACUGGUGGUUGGAGAAGACUUGGCAACUGCACUAUUAGAGCAACUGUCGCUUCACCAGCUCAGGGAUUUCAUGGAACCAACCAUGGAGAAGACAAACAAGAUGUUGUCAUUCAUACACCCCAUCAUACAGGAAGCAGACCCUGAACUUGAAGACUUCCUUAUAAGGUCUGAGGUUGGUCAAAUGUUUGCUCUCAGCUGGCUCAUAACUUGGUAUGGACACGUCAUCCAGGACUUUGACACCAUUGUCCGGUUGUAUGAUUUUUUCCUGGCGACACAUCCACUGAUGCCCGUUUAUCUUGCUGCAGCGCUGGUAAUACAUCGUCGCGAUGAUGUGUUGCUAGGCGAAUGUGACAUGGCGUUUGUGCAUCAUUCACUCUCCAAGAUUCCAAGUGACUUCUCUUCACGAGUGGAGGAACUUAUUACAUCUACCAAGUACCUGUUCGAGAAAUACUCACCAGAAAAGAUGGCCAAGGCAGCCGAACGGCACCUGAAGGAAAGCAUGGCCCUCGCCCAACACACACAGUUCCUGUAUGACUUAUCAGACCAGAGACCUGACUCAAUCCUUCGUAGACGCCGCCAACAGAAUUCACAGCUACAUGCAUACCAAGGGGGUGAACCUGUUCUAAGGGACUCCACCAAUCCUUACGUUAAGCUUGCCGUAUGGACGUUAACGGCCUCUCUCGGAACCGUGGCACUUUAUGUCUUGGGAUCUGCGAAGCGUUGGAUUUGACAUGGUCCAAUAGAAUACCAAGUGUGCGCCACCCCCUAACCCUUACGGCAUAUAUAGUGAGCGGGAUGUCUUAGGAUCUGCGAAACGUUGGAUCUGACAUCGUCGAAACGAUGUAUCUGACAGAAUACCAAGUGUGCGCCAUCACCUAACGCUUUAGCUCUAGUGUCCAAACUACAACAGAUAUGAGUGCACUUUUUAAUAUUCUGCAAGCGGUCGAGAAUCGCCAUCUGGCUUCCGUCAUUCAAACUCCUUGAAGCGGAUUCCCUGCCAGCAAGCCGACGAAUCGCCAUCUGGCUUCUGUUAUUCAAACUCCUUGAAGCGGAUUCCUUGCCAUCAAGCCGACGAAUCGCCAUCUGGCUUCCGUCAUUCAAACUCCUUGAAGCGGAUUCCUUGCCAGCAAGCCGACGAAUCGCCAUCUGGCUUCCUUCAUUCAAACUCCUUGAAGCGGAUUCCUUGCCAUCAAUUCGACGAAUCGCCAUCUGGCUUCCGUCAUUCAAACUCCUUGAAGCGGAUUCCUUGCCAUCAAGCCGACGAAUCGCCAUCUGGCUUCCGUCAUUCAAACUCCUUGAAGCGGAUUCCUUGCCAGCAAGCCGACGAAUCGCCAUCUGGCUUCCGUCAUUCAAACUUCUUGAAGCGGAUUCCUUGCCAUCAAGCCGACGAAUCGCCAUCUGGCUUCUGUUAUUCAAACUCCUUGAAGCGGAUUCCUUGCCAUCAAGCCGACGAAUCGCCAUCUGGCUUCCGUCAUUCAAACUCCUUGAAGCGGAUUCCUUGCCAGCAAGCCGACAAAUCGCCAUCUGGCUUCUGUCAUUUAAACUCCUUGAAGCGGAUUCCUUGCCAUCAAGUCGACGAAUCGCCAUCUGGCUUCCGUCAUUCAAACUCCUUGAAGCGGAUUCCUUGCCAGCAAGCCGACGAAUCGCCAUCUGGCUUCCGUCAUUCAAACUCCUUGAAGCGAAUUCCUUGCCAGCAAGCCGACGAAUCGCCAUCUGGCUUCCGUCAUUCAAACUCCUUGAAGCGGAUUCCUUGCCAUCAAGCCGACGAAUCGCCAUCUGGCUUCUGUCAUUCAAACUCCUUGAAGCUGAUUCCUGGCCAUCAAGCCGAUGAAUCGCCAUCUGGCUUCCGUGAUUCAACUCCUUGAAGCGGAUUCCUUUCCAGCAAGCCGACGAAUCGCCAUCUGGCUUCCGUCAUUCAAACUCCUUGAAGCGGAUUCCUUGCCAUCAAGCCGACGAAUCGCCAUCUGGCUUCCGUCAUUCAAACUCCUUGAAGCGGAUUCUUGCCAGCAAGCCAACGAAUCGUUAUCUGGCUUCUGUCAUUCAAACUCCUUGAAGCGGAUUCCUUGCCAUCAAGCCGACGAAUCGCCAUCUGGCUUCUGUCAUUCAAACUGGCCAGCAACUUAAUAGAUUUCUUAACCACGGGCUAAAGGAUAAUCUGACUCCGAAAUGAAGUCUUACGUCUUGUCAGUACCGAAUAAAGCACGUUUUCCUACAUCAA
This is an RNA transcript of Nematostella vectensis (starlet sea anemone), 3022 nucleotides long. It is a transcript of the gene named TBC1 domain family member 20, with no coding region annotated. Lineage: Eukaryota; Metazoa; Cnidaria; Anthozoa; Actiniaria; Edwardsiidae. The transcript is spliced from 11 exons. The record is from RefSeq and is a predicted model, not a curated record.